RNAcentral lists this transfer RNA (68 nucleotides) under Candidatus Woesearchaeota archaeon RBG_13_36_6. Its description in RNAcentral is "tRNA-Gly". The record is from RNAcentral. Lineage: Archaea; Nanobdellati; Candidatus Woesearchaeota.
GCGACGGUAGUCUAACGGCAGGAUUUCACCCUGCCACGGUGGAGGUCCGGGUUCGAAUAGUUGACGCU